RNAcentral lists this transfer RNA (86 nucleotides) under Algisphaera agarilytica. It matches the Rfam family "tRNA". From Rfam's summary of the family: Transfer RNA (tRNA) molecules are approximately 80 nucleotides in length. Their secondary structure includes four short double-helical elements and three loops (D, anti-codon, and T loops). Further hydrogen bonds mediate the characteristic L-shaped molecular structure. tRNAs have two regions of fundamental functional importance: the anti-codon, which is responsible for specific mRNA codon recognition, and the 3' end, to which the tRNAs corresponding amino acid is attached (by aminoacyl-tRNA synthetases). tRNAs cope with the degeneracy of the genetic code in two manners: having more than one tRNA (with a specific anti-codon) for a particular amino acid; and 'wobble' base-pairing, i.e. permitting non-standard base-pairing at the 3rd anti-codon position. RNAcentral also lists the same sequence under 3 other names. The record is from Rfam by way of RNAcentral. Lineage: Bacteria; Pseudomonadati; Planctomycetota; Phycisphaerae; Phycisphaerales; Phycisphaeraceae.
GCCCGGAUGGCGGAAUUGGCAGACGCGCCGCGUUGAGGUCGCGGUGGAGGUAAAACUCCUUGCAGGUUCGACUCCUGUUCCGGGCA